UACGAAGGGGGCUAGCGUUGUUCGGAAUUACUGGGCGUAAAGCGCGCGCAGGCGGCUAUCCAAGUCAGUGGUGAAAGCCCGGAGCUCAACUCCGGAACUGCCAUUGAAACUGUUUAGCUUGAGGAUGAGAGAGGUGAGUGGAAUUCCCAGUGUAGAGGUGAAAUUCGUAGAUAUCGAGAGGAACACCGGUGGCGAAGGCGGCCUUCUGGACAGUGACUGACGCUGAGACGCGAAAGCGUGGGGAGCAAACAGG
Molecule: ribosomal RNA, 253 nt
Filed under: uncultured bacterium
Lineage: Bacteria
Description: partial 16S ribosomal RNA
Rfam family: Bacterial small subunit ribosomal RNA
Source: RNAcentral